ACCGGGCGCGGUGGCCCGUGCCUGUAGUCCCAGCUACUCAGGAGGCUGAGGUGGGAGAAUUGCUUGAACCCAGGAGUUCUGGGCUGUAGUGCACUAUGCCGAUUGGGUGUCCGCACUAAGUUCGGCAUCAAUAUGGUGACCUCCCGGGAGCGGGGGACCACCAGGUUGCCUAAGGAGGGGUGAACCAGCCCAGGUCAGAAAUGGAGCAGGUCAAAACUCCCGUGCUGAUCAGUAGUGGGAUCGCGGCUGUGAACAGCCACUGCACUCCAGCCUGGGCAACAUAGCUAGACCCCCAUCUCU
This 300-nucleotide signal recognition particle RNA is filed under the name Aotus nancymaae (Ma's night monkey). RNAcentral's name for it is "Metazoan signal recognition particle RNA (ENSANAG00000012651.1)". It matches the Rfam family "Metazoan signal recognition particle RNA". Rfam says of the family: The signal recognition particle (SRP) is a universally conserved ribonucleoprotein. It is involved in the co-translational targeting of proteins to membranes. The record is from RNAcentral. Lineage: Eukaryota; Metazoa; Chordata; Mammalia; Primates; Aotidae.